CUGACAGUAUGCCGAAGGGGUGUUUGUGCCUGCAGAGAGCUGCACUUUCGAGGGCCAUGUGCACCACAGAAUCUGAACGCUCUUCAGAGGGCUUGUCGACCCUUAGGGUGAAAGACGUCUAAGCUGGCCAUGGCUGAACCCCAGCUGGCUCUGUGUGUUGUGGUGUGCCAUAGCAAAGAAGAUUGCCCAAAGACCUGUGAGCUAUUGUGCAGAGUCAGCCAAGAUGGUCUGCAGGAGCCAGUCUGGAGCCAGAGGUGAAGCUUCACCUUCAUACAGGCUCACUCAGUUAAUGAGAUGUGACACUUGGCAUGCUGCUAAUAAGAAAGAGAGAUCCGAAGAAAUGCAUGCCUCGCUUCUGAAAUGUUGCUGCAGGCCCCUUUUCUGUACAUCUGGUCUACUAAGGGCUGGUCUGAAUGUCUACGGAUUUCUUCAGUUCAAGUUUUUAUUGACUGCUGACCGAACUCAGUCUGCAACUGCGCCUUUUAUAGCUGUGCAGUCCGAGCUGACACGACUAUGGGACUGCAGAUUGGCUCUGGAGGACCGACAGCUGAAUUAAAUUCCAUGCGCAGUUGCUCUGAUGCAAACUCACCAAAGAUGCAGGAGUUACACAGGCAUACAGUAGCUGAAAGCAGACCUCGUCUGCAGAAGAGAAGGUCUGAAGAAGAGGGGAGAUUAAAGCAGCCACUUCAAGUCUGAGGUUCCAGACUAAGAAAAAACCCCCAGAGAUGUAGGGGAAAAAAAGGGGGCAGGGUAUUUUUGCUUCUAGG
This 767-nucleotide long non-coding RNA is filed under the name Struthio camelus australis. RNAcentral describes it as "lncRNA (ENSSCUG00000007976.1)". Lineage: Eukaryota; Metazoa; Chordata; Aves; Struthioniformes; Struthionidae. The record is from RNAcentral.